CAGCAGCCACGGUAAUACCAGCACCUCGAGUGGUCAGGAGGUUUAUUGGGCCUAAAGCAUCCGUAGCCGGUUGCAUAAGUUUUCGGUUAAAUCUAUGCGCUUAACGUAUAGGCCGCCGAAAAUACUGUGCAGCUAGGGAGUGGGAGAGGUACACGGUACUCGAUAGGAAGGGGUAAAAUCCUUUGAUCUAUUGAUGACCACCUGUGGCGAAGGCGGUGUACCAGAACACGUUCGACGGUGAGGGAUGAAAGCUGGGGGAGCAAACCGGAUUAGAUACCCCUGUAGUCCCUGUCUCUUAUAC
This 301-nucleotide ribosomal RNA is filed under the name uncultured bacterium. RNAcentral describes it as "partial 16S ribosomal RNA". It matches the Rfam family "Archaeal small subunit ribosomal RNA", at positions 459 to 760 of the family's 1478-position model. The record is from RNAcentral.